RNAcentral lists this ribosomal RNA (300 nucleotides) under uncultured Acidobacteriota bacterium. Its description in RNAcentral is "bacterial SSU rRNA". It matches the Rfam family "Bacterial small subunit ribosomal RNA", at positions 8 to 295 of the family's 1533-position model. Lineage: Bacteria; Pseudomonadati; Acidobacteriota. The record is from RNAcentral.
AGAGUUUGAUCAUGGCUCAGAAUCAACGCUGGCGGCGUGCCUAACACAUGCAAGUCGAACGCGAAAGUGGAGCAAUCCAUGAGUAGAGUGGCAAACGGGUGAGUAACACGUGGGUGACCUGCCUUCGAGCGGGGGAUAACGUCCCGAAAGGGACGCUAAUACCGCAUGACAUCCUGUCUUUUAACAGAUGGUGAUCAAAGCCGGGGAUCGCAAGACCUGGCACUCGAAGAGGGGCCCGCGCCUGAUUAGCUAGUUGGUGAGGUAACGGCUCACCAAGGCGACGAUCAGUAUCCGGCCUGA